CAAUUUUAUUUAACUUUUCAAAAAUCCACCUUUUUGUUUCAUUUAUUUUUUUGUAUUUUUGUUGUUGUUUGUUUAGUUGGUUGUUUCAAUUUCAUUUAGUUCUCUUCCGAUCUUCUAUUCUUGUUAGCAUUUCAUCAAACGUUUUUUCAAAGUUCUUGGUUUCUUUACAUUGGGUUAGAACAAGUUCUUUUAACUCCCAGAAGUUUCUUAUCAUCCACCUCCUGAAGCCUACUUCUGUUAAUGGCACGCAGUUCUUUUCCAUCAGGGUUUGUUCUGUCCCUGUAGAGGGAGAGGGGUUCUGAUUUUGGGUAUUCUCAGCCUUUUUAGGUUGGUUUCUUUCCUUUGUUAUAAAUUUAUCCAUCUGUCGUCUUUACGAUUACCGCCUUUCUAGUUGGGUUUCUGAGUGGACGUCCAGUUUAUUGAUUCCCAGUGCUGGAAUCCAAGCAACCCACUGCACCGGCCAAAACAGCAGCAUUAAGACUGAUGGUGCUCUUCUGCCUGGGAAUUUCCUUCCCGUUUACUCUGCAUGAAGAGCUGCCAUGCUAAGGCGCUGACAAAACCACUGCACCAGCCACAAGAGUCGUGCUGGCGACCUGUGGGGCUCCUCCACUGGGAAUCUUCUGGUCCAUGAGUGACGAAAAAUUGUCUGAAAGUGUGGCGUCCUCUCGUUCUCUGCGCUUUCACUGGGAGCUACAAUCCUGAGCUGUUAGCGAUCAGCCAUCUUGGAUCAAUCUCUUGAUCCAAACUUUCUAGCUUUUUCAUGGCAAAGAAUAAAUCUGAUUCUGAUUCCUCCUUCAGGGGCCAAAGCAGAAAAACAUGCUGAGGAUUCUAGAAUUAAUUAAUGUGCAAACGAAGUAAUGCCAGUGGUUAGUGUAUUGAAUGUGAAGUUUUUGUGAGAUAACCACUUGAAAAUAAUUACAAGUAAUUGGAUAUUUAACAAUUCAUGAGAGUGAUUUGAGCAGGAUAUAUAUUUGGAGAAUCACUUUCAUAGACCUGAAAAUUUAUGGCAGAGGAGUAGAAAUGAGAACAAUUACAGUCAAGCAAUGGGUGCAUUAUAUAAAUUGCUGGUGUUAAUGAGUAUUGAAAAGUGAAGGAAUAGUGGCUACAUUUGUGAAUUAAAUUCUGCAAGAAGAAUAUGCAUUUGAUGAUGUAGGAGAUAGCAAUUUGGAGGAAAACAUGCCCUUCCCAGUUAUAAAUCAUUCAAAUUAGUAAUUACCUAUUUUCCUUGCUUCAGAUUACAGAAUCCUUAAAUUAAGGAGCUCAUUCUUGGUUUUUAUGACUAUGUUGCUUUAGAUUAGCCAGGCUAGGAAAAAAACAGAUGAAUAAACUGAGAAAAACUAAAAUCACAUUCAAACUAAACAGAACUCCAAUGAUAUAGAUGUGCACAAUCCAUUUAUAGAAAUUUAAAAUACGUUGGGAAGGUAUAAAUUAUCAUUAAGAAUCAACUUUACGAUAUAGGAAAAAUAUAAUAACCAGCAACAGCCAAAUAUCAGUGGGCUAUAACCGUAUACCUGCCUUUCUUUCUUUGACUAUUAACAUAAAUGUAUCACUUACUAGCACUAGAGUUUUUCUUAGAGUCCAGACUCUAUGAUUAGUAUGAAAAUCAAGGCCAAAUUACAACAGGUUGGUCAAAUGAAGAUAAUCAUGUGUUAAAUU
Callithrix jacchus (white-tufted-ear marmoset) is the source of this 1656-nucleotide long non-coding RNA. Lineage: Eukaryota; Metazoa; Chordata; Mammalia; Primates; Cebidae. The record is from Ensembl.